Non-coding RNA from Camellia sinensis, 1788 nucleotides. The record is from RefSeq and is a predicted model, not a curated record. NCBI's taxonomy places the organism in Eukaryota, Viridiplantae, Streptophyta, Magnoliopsida, Ericales, Theaceae.
UCUCUGGAUUCCUAACCAAUAUGUGCACACAGAAAUACAAUCAUUCAUCUAUAUGCAUGCACACACAUCUAUAUAAAUGUAUAUGUUUUUUUCCAUGUGUAGUCGGUAAUGAUAUUGGGAUGAUUUUCUUUGAUCACUUAACUGGAUCGAGUAAUCAAAUGGUGGAUAAAUUUAACACUAAUCAAAUGCUUUCGUGUUCAUGAUUUUCUUGAUGGAAUUUGUAACUUUUAUCAGCUUAAUGGAAAGUGAUUUGGGAAGAAAUAUGAUAUAUGUAUAUUUUUUUUUAUAAAUUUUCAGCAAUGUUUAGGCGUGGAAACAAAUUAUCAAGGUCAAUGAAUGGUAUUAGGGGUUUUCGGGUGCCUGUAUUGUUUACAGUUCUGAUUCUAUUUCUUGUGGCUUUGACACUUUUGUUUCGAAAUGAUGGGGAGAAACCCAAUUCUUCAGUUGGGCUAGUAAAGCAAAAGUGGAAUAGUUUUGAAUCAUUGGUUCAAUUUAACCCCAAUGUGGAGUUCAGGAAUGGGACAGAUGUUAUAUGGCAAAUACCCGAUUCACCGAAGGCAGUUCUGUUUUUAGCUCAUGGAUGUAGUGGCCGAGCUGUUAAUUUUUGGGACAAAUCUCCUAAAUGCCCAAACUGUAUUGGUUUGCCUGAAGAAAGGCUAAUUGUCCUUCAUGCUCUUGCUCGCAAGUUUGCAGUUCUUACCAUUUCGAGUGCGGGAACUUGCUGGUCAGUUGGGGAGGAAAGAAUGAUUGUAAAAGGAAUUAUCGAGUGGUGGGUUGAGAAAUACAAGCUUGAAAAACUUCCACUUGUGGCUUUGGGGGCCUCCUCUGGUGGGUACUUUGUUUCAAUGCUUGCCACUGAUAUGAGAUUUAGUAGCAUUACGAUAAUGAUCGCAGAAGGGUUAUUUCAUCAAAUGGAUAUCACAAAGGACUACCCACCUACACUAUUUGUGCACAUGCCCAAAGAUGAAGCUAGGAAGCAGCAGAUAGAUGCAAAUCUUAGGUUUUUGAAGGAAGAAGGCAUUGAUGUUGCAGAGGUUAAAUGCAUGGAGUUCCCGUUGUCACCAAAUUUCUUAGCUGACAGGAUCCCAGGUCUUGAUAAGACUAUUUCAAUGAAAUUAUUUGAUCUAUUCCGGGACAAGGGCUUUAUUGACAAAAAUGGUUAUAUGAGAGCUGAUGGGCGAGCAAUGCGUUUGAAAGCAGCUCUCAGGGAGAGUAAAAUUAUUCUGCCAGAUAUGCACCUAGUCCAUCACAUUCAAGAGGAACUGAAUCUUGCUUUUGCAUAUCAUGAAAUGACUAGCUUGCAGUCUGAGGAAAUUUUUGACUGGUUUGAAUCUCAUAUGAGCUGAUCAAUAAUCUAAUUUGUCAGCUUCGUCCUUUCUUCGGCCAUUGAUCAGCAUUAGUGACGGCACAUUGGUCAAAAUGACUUUGAACUAAGUAAUGUAACUUAAAUGAGUGCAUAACUAGUGCCCCCCAAACAACUCAAAUUGGCGGGAAGCUUAGUUGUAAAAAUUACAUCUCUAUAGCCCAUCUAAAAUCUUGUGAGUGAGUUGUGCAAAAGGGAAAAGGCAUGGCAUCUUCUCAAAUGAGUUAGAUAAUGGUGGAAGUGUGCACAAAUUUUGCAGAGUGUGUAGUGCAUGAAUCUUGAGUCUCAGGAGAACUCUUGUUUGAUCGAUUCGAAGUCCUUGGUCAUCGCCUCCGAGAAACGCCUCCUCUCUUUGGUCAAGUAUCCCCUCUCCCACCUCUCUCUAAAAACCCUAACAUGUAGAUUGCAAAAUUGAUUAUUUUGGU